GACGAACGCUGGCGGCGUGCCUAAUACAUGCAAGUGGAACGCUGAAGGAGGAGCUUGCUUCUCCGGAUGAGUUGCGAACGGGUGAGUAACGCGUAGGUAACCUGCCUGGUGGCGGGGGAUAACUAUUGGAAACGAUAGCUAAUACCGCAUAACAGUAGAUAUUGCAUGAUAUCUACUUGAAAGGUGCAAUUGCAUCACUACCAGAUGGACCUGCGUUGUAUUAGCUAGUUGGUGAGGUAACGGCUCACCAAGGCAACGAUACAUAGCCGACCUGAGAGGGUGAUCGGCCACACUGGGACUGAGACACGGCCCAGACUCCUACGGGAGGCAGCAGUAGGGAAUCUUCGGCAAUGGACGGAAGUCUGACCGGGCAACGCCGCGUGAGUGAAGAAGGUUUUCGGAUCGUAAAGCUCUGUUGUAAGAGAAGAACGAGUGUGAGAGUGGAAAGUUCACACUGUGACGGUAUCUUACCAGAAAGGGACGGCUAACUACGUGCCAGCAGCCGCGGUAAUACGUAGGUCCCGAGCGUUGUCCGGAUUUAUUGGGCGUAAAGCGAGCGCAGGCGGUUAGAUAAGUCUGAAGUUAAAGGCUGUGGCUUAACCAUAGUACGCUUUGGAAACUGUUUAACUUGAGUGCAAGAGGGGAGAGUGGAAUUCCAUGUGUAGCGGUGAAAUGCGUAGAUAUAUGGAGGAACACCGGUGGCGAAAGCGGCUCUCUGGCUUGUAACUGACGCUGAGGCUCGAAAGCGUGGGGAGCAAACAGG
This 763-nucleotide ribosomal RNA is filed under the name uncultured Streptococcus sp. Its description in RNAcentral is "bacterial SSU rRNA". It matches the Rfam family "Bacterial small subunit ribosomal RNA", at positions 28 to 776 of the family's 1533-position model. Lineage: Bacteria; Bacillati; Bacillota; Bacilli; Lactobacillales; Streptococcaceae. The record is from RNAcentral.